RNAcentral lists this ribosomal RNA (464 nucleotides) under uncultured bacterium. RNAcentral's name for it is "bacterial SSU rRNA". It matches the Rfam family "Bacterial small subunit ribosomal RNA", at positions 337 to 793 of the family's 1533-position model. The record is from RNAcentral.
UCCUACGGGAGGCAGCAGUGGGGAAUUUUGGACAAUGGGCGAAAGCCUGAUCCAGCAAUGCCGCGUGUGUGAAGAAGGCCUUCGGGUUGUAAAGCACUUUUGUCCGGAAAGAAAUCCUUGACCCUAAUACGGUCGGGGGAUGACGGUACCGGAAGAAUAAGCACCGGCUAACUACGUGCCAGCAGCCGCGGUAAUACGUAGGGUGCGAGCGUUAAUCGGAAUUACUGGGCGUAAAGCGUGCGCAGGCGGUUUGCUAAGACCGAUGUGAAAUCCCCGGGCUCAACCUGGGAACUGCAUUGGUGACUGGCAGGCUAGAGUAUGGCAGAGGGGGGUAGAAUUCCACGUGUAGCAGUGAAAUGCGUAGAGAUGUGGAGGAAUACCGAUGGCGAAGGCAGCCCCCUGGGCCAAUACUGACGCUCAUGCACGAAAGCGUGGGGAGCAAACAGGAUUAGAUACCCCCGUAC